RNAcentral lists this ribosomal RNA (492 nucleotides) under uncultured bacterium. RNAcentral describes it as "bacterial SSU rRNA". It matches the Rfam family "Bacterial small subunit ribosomal RNA", at positions 19 to 507 of the family's 1533-position model. The record is from RNAcentral.
AUGGCUCAGGAUGAACGCUGGCGGCGUGCUUAACACAUGCAAGUCGAACGAAGACACUUUAUUAUGAUUUCUUCGGAAUGACGAUUUAGUGACUGAGUGGCGGACGGGUGAGUAACGCGUGGGUAACCUGCCUUAUACAGGGGGAUAACAGUUAGAAAUGACUGCUAAUACCGCAUAAGCGCACAGGAUUGCAUGAUCUAGUGUGAAAAACUCCGGUGGUAUAAGAUGGACCCGCGUCUGAUUAGCUGGUUGGUGAGGUAACGGCCCACCAAGGCGACGAUCAGUAGCCGACCUGAGAGGGUGACCGGCCACAUUGGGACUGAGACACGGCCCAAACUCCUACGGGAGGCAGCAGUGGGGAAUAUUGCACAAUGGGGGAAACCCUGAUGCAGCGACGCCGCGUGAGCGAAGAAGUAUUUCGGUAUGUAAAGCUCUAUCAGCAGGGAAGAAAAAAUGACGGUACCUGACUAAGAAGCCCCGGCUAACUACGUG